CUUUUAUUGAGAGUUUGAUCCUGGCUCAGGACGAACGCUGGCGGCGUGCCUAAUACAUGCAAGUCGAG
RNAcentral lists this ribosomal RNA (68 nucleotides) under Tumebacillus sp. BK434. Its description in RNAcentral is "partial 16S ribosomal RNA". It matches the Rfam family "Bacterial small subunit ribosomal RNA", at positions 1 to 66 of the family's 1533-position model. The record is from RNAcentral. Lineage: Bacteria; Bacillati; Bacillota; Bacilli; Caryophanales; Alicyclobacillaceae.